GGGGGUGCCCCGGUUUCGACUGUCACGGUCCGGUUCGCGGGUCGCAGGUGGAGCGCCGAUCUCCUACUCUCGGCAAACCUUUAAUUGCCAACGACAACGGCAAUUUCGCUCUCGCCGCGUAAGCGCCGAUAGCGACGGACCCCGCGGCGCCCCGCUCUGAGCGCCGCGUACGGUCUGUAACCCGACCAGGGCUUACCCCCCGCCACGCCCGCGGGACGGGGGGGACAUCAAGCGGGAUACGGAGGCGAUAGCGCGGCGGCCCGCCGCCCGCCUCCCGACAACUUGAAAGGCCGCCUAAACCUGUAGAAGCCUUCCUUCCGCGUGUCAGGACGGGGGUUCGACUCCCCCCACCUCCAAAA
Molecule: transfer-messenger RNA, 359 nt
Filed under: Spirochaetaceae bacterium
Lineage: Bacteria; Pseudomonadati; Spirochaetota; Spirochaetia; Spirochaetales; Spirochaetaceae
Also listed under: 2 other names
Rfam family: transfer-messenger RNA
About the family: Bacterial tmRNA, also known as 10Sa RNA or SsrA, is named for its dual tRNA and mRNA-like properties.
Source: RNAcentral